GAUGAACGCUGGCGGCGUGCCUAAUACAUGCAAGUCGAGCGAACAGAUGAGGAGCUUGCUCCUCUGACGUUAGCGGCGGACGGGUGAGUAACACGUGGAUAACCUACCUAUAAGACUGGGAUAGCUUCGGGAAACCGGAGCUAAUACCGGAUAAUAUAUUGAACCGCAUGGUUCAAUAGUGAAAGACGGUUUUGCUGUCACUUAUAGAUGGAUCCGCGCCGCAUUAGCUAGUUGGUAAGGUAACGGCUUACCAAGGCAACGAUGCGUAGCCGACCUGAGAGGGUGAUCGGCCACACUGGAACUGAGACACGGUCCAGACUCCUACGGGAGGCAGCAGUAGGGAAUCUUCCGCAAAGGGCGAAAGCCUGACGGAGCAACGCCGCGUGAGUGAUGAAGGCCUUCGGAUCGUAAAACUCUGUUAUUAGGGAAGAACAAAUGUGUAAGUAACUAUGCACGUCUUGACGGUACCUAAUCAGAAAGCCACGGCUAACUACGUG
This 497-nucleotide ribosomal RNA is filed under the name uncultured bacterium. Its description in RNAcentral is "partial 16S ribosomal RNA". It matches the Rfam family "Bacterial small subunit ribosomal RNA", at positions 28 to 507 of the family's 1533-position model. The record is from RNAcentral.